AUUGAACGCUGGCGGCGUGCCUAACACAUGCAAGUCGAGCGGUAACAGGUGUAGCAAUACAUGCUGACGAGCGGCGAACGGGUGAGUAAUGCUCCGGAAUCUGCCCAUGUAGUGGGGAAUAACCAGCCGAAAGGUUGGCUAAUACCGCAUACGACCUACGGUGAAAGCAGGGGAUCGCAAGACCUUGCGCUAUUGGAUGAGCCGAAGUCGGAUUAGCNGUUGGUAGGUAACGGCCUACCAAGGCGACGAUCCGUAGCUGGUCUGAGAGGACGACCAGCCACACUGGGACUGAGACACGGCCCAGACUCCUACGGGAGGCAGCAGUGGGGAAUAUUGGAC
This 339-nucleotide ribosomal RNA is filed under the name uncultured bacterium. Its description in RNAcentral is "bacterial SSU rRNA". It matches the Rfam family "Bacterial small subunit ribosomal RNA", at positions 30 to 369 of the family's 1533-position model. The record is from RNAcentral.